GAUGAACGCUAGCUACAGGCUUAACACAUGCAAGUCGAGGGGAAACGGCAUUAAGUGCUUGCACUUUUUGGACGUCGACCGGCGCACGGGUGAGUAACGCGUAUCCAACCUGCCCCUUACCAGGGAAUAACCCGUUGAAAGACGGACUAAUGCCCUAUGCAGUCCUUUUACGGCAUCAGAUUAGGACUAAAGAUUCAUCGGUAUGGGAUGGGGAUGCGUCUGAUUAGCUUGUUGGCGGGGUAACGGCCCACCAAGGCAUCGAUCAGUAGGGGUUCUGAGAGGAAGGUCCCCCACAUAGGAACUGAGACACGGUCCUAACUCCUACGGGAGGCAGCAGUGAGGAAUAUUGGUCAAUGGGCGGUAGCCUGAACCAGCCAAGUAGCGUGCAGGAUGACGGCCCUAUGGGUUGUAAACUGCUUUUAUGCGGGGAUAAAGUCACCCACGUGUGGGUGUUUGCAGGUACCGCAUGAAUAAGGACCGGCUAAUUCCGUG
RNAcentral lists this ribosomal RNA (492 nucleotides) under uncultured bacterium. Its description in RNAcentral is "partial 16S ribosomal RNA". It matches the Rfam family "Bacterial small subunit ribosomal RNA", at positions 28 to 507 of the family's 1533-position model. The record is from RNAcentral.